UUCUUUCGUGCGCUCUCUGUUCGUUGCUCUGUUUCUUCGCGCUUGAAUCCAUUGAACGCCGCAUGGCAGCUUAAUUUUUAAUCUCUGUGCAAAGUACUGCUGCCUUACCGGCUCUCUCUCUCUCUCGAUUCAAGGUGAGGAAAUGGCGAGAGAUAAAGCCACGAGCUUGGAGGAUCUCAAAAACGAGACUGUUGAUCUGGAAAAGAUUCCCAUAGAAGAAGUCUUCGAGCAGCUGAAAUGUACCAAAGAGGGUCUGAGCUCGGAGGAGGGAGCAAAUCGGAUUCAACUCUUCGGGCCGAACAAGCUCGAGGAGAAAAAGGAGAGCAAAUUCCUCAAGUUUCUCGGGUUCAUGUGGAAUCCGCUGUCGUGGGUGAUGGAGAUGGCGGCGAUCAUGGCAAUUGCGCUGGCGAACGGCGGAGGGAAGCCUCCGGAUUGGGAGGACUUCGUCGGAAUCAUCAUCCUGCUGGUUAUCAACUCCACCAUCUCGUUUAUCGAAGAGAACAACGCCGGCAAUGCCGCGGCCGCUCUCAUGGCCCGUCUCGCUCCCAAAGCUAAGGUACUGAGAGACGGCACAUGGGGCGAGCAGGACGCGGCGAUCCUGGUGCCCGGCGACAUCAUCAGCAUCAAGCUCGGCGACAUCAUACCCGCCGACGCCCGGCUGCUGGAGGGAGACCCCUUGAAGAUUGACCAGUCCGCCCUCACCGGAGAAUCUCUCCCCGUCACCAAGAACCCCGGCGACGAGGUCUUCUCCGGCUCCACAUGCAAGCAGGGCGAGAUCGAGGCCGUCGUCAUCGCCACCGGCGUCCACACCUUCUUCGGAAAGGCCGCCCACCUCGUCGACAGCACCAACCAGGUCGGCCACUUCCAGAAGGUCCUCACCUCCAUUGGGAAUUUCUGCAUCUGCUCCAUCGCCGUCGGCAUCGUCAUCGAGAUCAUCGUCAUGUUCCCGAUCCAGAAACGCAAAUACCGAGACGGCAUCGACAACCUAUUGGUCCUCUUGAUCGGAGGCAUCCCCAUUGCCAUGCCCACCGUGCUCUCCGUCACCAUGGCCAUCGGAUCCCACAAGCUCUCUCAACAGGGCGCCAUCACCAAGAGGAUGACCGCCAUAGAGGAGAUGGCCGGAAUGGAUGUGCUCUGCAGCGAUAAGACCGGCACGCUUACCCUAAACAAACUCAGCGUCGAUAAGAACUUAAUCGAGGUGUUCUCCAAAGGCGUCGACAAGGAUCAUGUCGUCCUGCUGGCUGCAAGGGCCUCCAGGACCGAGAAUCAGGACGCCAUCGAUGCUGCUAUGGUUGGGAUGCUCGCAGACCCAAAGGAGGCAAGAGCAGGAAUACGGGAAGUCCAUUUCUUUCCCUUCAAUCCCGUCGACAAGAGAACAGCGCUGACUUAUAUCGAUGAAGAGGGCAAAUGGCAUAGAGUCAGCAAAGGUGCUCCUGAACAGAUAUUGAACCUAUGCAACUGCAAAGAGGAUGUGAGGAAGAGAGUUCACACAGUGAUUGAUAAGUUUGCUGAACGGGGGCUUCGAUCUUUGGCAGUGGGAAGACAGGAAGUUCCUGAGAGGAGCAAAGAGAGUCCUGGUGCACCAUGGCAGUUUGUUGGUUUACUGCCUCUCUUUGACCCUCCGAGACAUGAUAGUGCUGAGACCAUCCGCAAGGCUCUCAACCUUGGCGUGAAUGUGAAGAUGAUCACUGGCGAUCAACUAGCGAUAGCAAAGGAAACCGGUAGGAGACUUGGAAUGGGAUCAAACAUGUAUCCUUCCUCUUCUCUCCUUGGACAACACAAGGAUGAGGCACUUGGUGCACUUCCAGUGGAUGAAUUAAUCGAGAAGGCUGAUGGGUUUGCAGGAGUUUUUCCAGAGCAUAAGUAUGAGAUUGUGAGGAAGUUGCAAGAGAGGAAGCAUAUAUGUGGGAUGACUGGGGAUGGAGUAAAUGAUGCUCCUGCCUUGAAGAAGGCUGAUAUUGGCAUUGCUGUUUCCGAUGCCACGGAUGCUGCAAGAAGUGCUUCUGACAUUGUCCUGACUGAACCUGGCUUAAGUGUCAUCAUCAGUGCUGUCCUUACCAGCAGAGCCAUCUUCCAGAGGAUGAAAAACUAUACAAUAUAUGCUGUUUCAAUCACCAUCCGUAUUGUCCUUGGAUUUAUGCUUAUUGCUCUGAUUUGGAAAUUUGACUUCUCCCCUUUCAUGGUUUUGAUUAUUGCCAUACUAAAUGAUGGUACAAUUAUGACAAUAUCUAAAGAUCGUGUGAAGCCAUCUCCAAUGCCAGACAGUUGGAAAUUGAAAGAAAUAUUUGCCACUGGCAUUGUGCUGGGAACUUACUUGGCCUUGAUGACUGUCCUCUUCUUCUGGGCUAUGAAAGAAACUAAUUUCUUUCCGAACAAAUUCGAUGUUAGACGGAUAAGAGAAAGUGACCAUGAGAUGAUGGCUGCACUAUACCUGCAAGUGAGCAUUAUCAGCCAAGCACUCAUAUUCGUUACCCGUUCACGUGGUUGGUGCUUCACUGAACGUCCUGGACUUCUACUCUGUGGUGCCUUUGUGAUUGCUCAACUCAUUGCCACUUUAGUAGCUGUUUAUGCCAACUGGAGCUUUGCCCACAUUAAAGGCUGCGGAUGGGGUUGGGCUGGAAUAAUAUGGCUUUAUAGUUUAAUUACCUUCAUCCCACUUGACUUGAUUAAGUUUGCUACUCGCUAUAUACUAAGUGGAAAGGCAUGGGACACUCUCUUUGAGAGGAAGACUGCUUUCACCACAAAGAAAGAUUAUGGAAGAGAGGAAAGAGAAGCUCAAUGGGCAAUCGCUCAGAGAACACUUCAUGGUCUCCAACCUCCUGACACUUCAAACCUCUUCUCUGACAAGAACAGCUAUCGCGAGCUUUCAGAAAUUGCUGAGCAGGCCAAGAGACGAGCUGAGAUUGCGAGGAGCAUGAGCGAUGUCUUGUACAAUAGUUGCAGCAAACUGGAAAUGUCAAAUUUGACUAAUCUAUAGCAGCUUAAACUUUCGAGACUGCCCAAAAUCGCAAUAAAUAAAGUCAUCCUGCUUUUAAAUGAAAUCGAGAAGUUAUUCUGAAUUAUCAUUUGUAGGGGCAGGAUGACUAUAUUUUGGCUGAAUAACUCAUUCUCAAAUAUGGCUAAGAGAGCUGCACACACUAAAGGGUCAUGUGGAAUCAGUGGUCAAGCUGAAAGGGCUUGACAUCGACACCAUUCAGCAACAUUACACAGUUUAGGAACACCCAAACGUUUCUGCCAAGAAGCUCCUCGUCGGAAAUGGCGACAAAGCAUCAAAUGGAUAAUUAUUGCGUGAUGAAGUAAUACUAUCUAUGUACAACGGGGAGAGGUAAGUGGUGUUUAAAAUCUGCAUCUUGCUGUUUAAAGUUUGUUGGAAAUAAGCUAAUUGCCUUUGGUGUA
This is an RNA transcript of Zingiber officinale, 3396 nucleotides long. It is a transcript of the gene named plasma membrane ATPase-like, with no coding region annotated. Lineage: Eukaryota; Viridiplantae; Streptophyta; Magnoliopsida; Zingiberales; Zingiberaceae. The transcript has 17 exons. The record is from RefSeq and is a predicted model, not a curated record.